This 499-nucleotide ribosomal RNA is filed under the name uncultured bacterium. RNAcentral describes it as "bacterial SSU rRNA". It matches the Rfam family "Bacterial small subunit ribosomal RNA", at positions 28 to 526 of the family's 1533-position model. The record is from RNAcentral.
GACGAACGCUAGCGGGAGGCCUAAUACAUGCAAGUCGAGCGGUAGAGUGACUUCGGUUGCUUGAGUGCGGCGAACGGGUGAGUAACGCGUACACAAUCUACCUUUAAGAGGGGAAUAGCCCUGGGAAACUGGGAUUAAUGCCCCAUGGCAUCACGAGACGGCAUCGUUUUGUGAUUAAAGCUGAGGUGCUUAGAGAUGAGUGUGCGUCUGAUUAGCUAGUUGGUGCGGUAACGGCGCACCAAGGCGACGAUCAGUAGGGGGCGUGAGAGCGUGGACCCCCACACGGGUACUGAGACACGGACCCGACUCCUACGGGAGGCAGCAGUAAGGAAUAUUGGUCAAUGGAGGAAACUCUGAACCAGCCAUCCCGCGUGCAGGAAGAAUGCCCUAUGGGUUGUAAACUGCUUUUAUCUGGGAAGAAAAGUCGGGAUUUAUCCUGAUCUGACGGUACCAGAGGAAUAAGCACCGGCUAACUCCGUGCCAGCAGCCGCGGUAAAGU